RNAcentral lists this non-coding RNA (28 nucleotides) under Rattus norvegicus (Norway rat). Lineage: Eukaryota; Metazoa; Chordata; Mammalia; Rodentia; Muridae. The record is from RNAcentral.
UAGUUGGCUACAGAAGUAGAUAGUGUGU